Long non-coding RNA from Pundamilia nyererei, 403 nucleotides. RefSeq lists it as uncharacterized. NCBI's taxonomy places the organism in Eukaryota, Metazoa, Chordata, Actinopteri, Cichliformes, Cichlidae. The transcript has 3 exons. The record is from RefSeq and is a predicted model, not a curated record.
UGGCUUCCUUUUUCCCUCCUACACGUAAUCCAGAACCUCACAAGCUCCACCAAGGUUGGAUGGGGUGUGUUGGUUCAAGUCUGGGCUCUGGCUGGGGCGCACAACGGCACUCAGAGAGGAUCCUGAAGCCACUCCUUCCUUAUUUUGGUCGUGUGCUUAGAGUUGUUGUUGGAAGAUGAAUUUUCGCCCCAGUCCAAAGUCCAGAGUGCUCAGGAGCAGGUUACCAUCAAGGAUGUCUUUCUUUUUGCUCUACUCACCUGUCCCUCGACCCCAACUAGCCUCCCAGUUCUUCAUGAUGACAAACUUCCCCACAGCAUCAUGGAGCCUCUACCAUGCUUCACCAGAUGUAGCUGUUGAGGAUUUCUCCGAGGACAUAGAAGACACCAAUUACUGCCAUCAUUGC